This 69-nucleotide transfer RNA is filed under the name Ictidomys tridecemlineatus (thirteen-lined ground squirrel). Its description in RNAcentral is "Spermophilus tridecemlineatus (thirteen-lined ground squirrel) tRNA". It matches the Rfam family "tRNA". From Rfam's summary of the family: Transfer RNA (tRNA) molecules are approximately 80 nucleotides in length. Their secondary structure includes four short double-helical elements and three loops (D, anti-codon, and T loops). The record is from Rfam by way of RNAcentral. Lineage: Eukaryota; Metazoa; Chordata; Mammalia; Rodentia; Sciuridae.
GGGGUUGUGGCUCAGGGGUAGAGCGCUUGCCUAGCAUGCAUGAGGCACUGGGUUCAAUCCUCAGCACCA